UGGCUCAGGACGAACGCUGGCGGCGUGCUUAACACAUGCAAGUCGAACGAAACACCUUAUUUGAUUUUCUUCGGAACUGAAGAUUUGGUGAUUGAGUGGCGGACGGGUGAGUAACGCGUGGGUAACCUGCCCUGUACAGGGGGAUAACAGUCAGAAAUGACUGCUAAUACCGCAUAAGACCACAGCACCGCAUGGUGCAGGGGUAAAAACUCCGGUGGUACAGGAUGGACCCGCGUCUGAUUAGCUGGUUGGUGAGGUAACGGCUCACCAAGGCGACGAUCAGUAGCCGGCUUGAGAGAGGAACGGCCACAUUGGACGAACACGCCCA
Molecule: ribosomal RNA, 328 nt
Filed under: Eubacterium sp. SG121
Lineage: Bacteria; Bacillati; Bacillota; Clostridia; Eubacteriales; Eubacteriaceae
Description: bacterial SSU rRNA
Rfam family: Bacterial small subunit ribosomal RNA
Source: RNAcentral